ACCGGGGUGGACGCACCUCUGGUGUACCAGUUGUGCCGCCAGGUGCACCGCUGGGUAGCCAAGUGCGGAAGGGAUAAGCGCUGAAAGCAUCUAAGCGCGAAGCCCCCCUCAAGAUGAGAUUUCCCACUCACAGGCUUGCCUGUGAGGUAAGACCCCUUGUAGAUGACAAGGUAGAUCGGUCCGAGGUGUAAGCGCAGCAAUGCGUUCAGCUGACGGAUCCGAAUCGGUCGAGGACUUCUCCUU
This 243-nucleotide ribosomal RNA is filed under the name Klebsiella pneumoniae. Its description in RNAcentral is "partial 23S ribosomal RNA". It matches the Rfam family "Bacterial large subunit ribosomal RNA", at positions 2691 to 2925 of the family's 2925-position model. Lineage: Bacteria; Pseudomonadati; Pseudomonadota; Gammaproteobacteria; Enterobacterales; Enterobacteriaceae. The record is from RNAcentral.